Molecule: long non-coding RNA, 730 nt
Organism: Astatotilapia calliptera (eastern happy)
Lineage: Eukaryota; Metazoa; Chordata; Actinopteri; Cichliformes; Cichlidae
Source: Ensembl
UCAAAGUUGACCCUCUCUUCUUUGAGCUGGUCCUGGACUCUAAGCUCAUUUUUUAUCUGUUUUCUUUUUCCUUCAGUUCUUUUACUUUUAGGUUUUUUUCAGUGGUCACUUGCUUUAAUUCUUGCUUCAAGGCCUCAUUUUCUUUGCUCAGUCUAUUGACUUUGCCUUGAAGACGAGACAGAAAUUCCACAUCUUUUUCUUUCUGCUCCCGUCUCUUUUUUUCAGUGGCAUGUUUCCUUUCCAAGUCUUUGCAUUUCUUUUGAAGGUCCAGGAUUUUUUUCUCAUAUUUCUCUGAUCCUGCAGCCUUCAUCUCACAUUGAGCCAUACGUUUUCUUAGUUGGUCUACUUGUGAGAGAUGGGCGCGGGCUUCCUGUUUAAGGCUCGAAAUAUCAUCCACACGUUCUCUACACACCUUAACAAAUUUUGAUAUUGUCUUCUGCUGUUCCUUGUUUAAAGCCAUGAGGUGUUUUUCUCUUCUCCUUAAUUUUUCAAUUUUUUUAUGCUGUAAUUCUAGUGUGGCAGCUAUUUUUAAAUGAAUGUAUUUAAUUUGUAUUUAUAUUGUUUGCGCAAAGUUAUCAAGUGCAACCAGUUAUCUACUCAACUAGGUAAUGUGCGUUCCAAAUGGAAACUCAAACUUACAGUUUCUGUCUACAUGGGGUGUAUUUAUAGGUUUUCUUGAAACCUGACUCCGCCCCCUACAGCUAUCUUCAAAGGCAAUUCUGUGAUGUCA